This is a long non-coding RNA of Populus euphratica (Euphrates poplar), 601 nucleotides long. RefSeq lists it as uncharacterized. The record is from RefSeq and is a predicted model, not a curated record. The transcript is spliced from 2 exons. NCBI's taxonomy places the organism in Eukaryota, Viridiplantae, Streptophyta, Magnoliopsida, Malpighiales, Salicaceae.
GGAAUGCCUUCAUCAGUGGCGAAGAAGCAAGCAGAUUCAGGAGUUUUAACAUCUAUGGAUAGAAUGCCAGCUGUCCAGAGAAAAAAAAUGCAGAAGCAACAAGGGUUCUUGGAGAGUCCUGAGAAAAUGGUUCACAGACAACAUUUUCAAGUGAAGAAUGAUGCAGACUUUCCCCCUCUCUGACCACCAGGGCACUCACAUGUGGAGAUUCAAGUAAAAGGGUGGAACUACAGCUAAACAGAAAUGCCGAUACCUAACCUGACAUUGGAUCCUUGCUUGCUCAGAAAUAACGCUGCCCUGGGAAGGCUUGUAAUACAAUUUUGUUUUUGUUUUCCUUCUGUCAAACCCCAAUAAUGGAAGCAUUUUUGUUGAGGAGGACUUGGAUGGGUUUCUCGUCCUUUCCACCUCUUUUGAAAAACAUAAGGUACUCUAUAUGAACUUUUGUCAGGAAAAAAUGGUUUAUUUUUCCAUCCUCUCUCAUCCUCGCUAAAGCUUUCUCCGCUGUUUGGUAAUCAUUCAGCUAGGAGUUUUUGAAGCUUGUAUCUGGGUGCUUUCUGUGAUUACGCUUUUUUUUUCCCCCCCCGCCUGUGUUAGCUGCUUU